RNAcentral lists this ribosomal RNA (500 nucleotides) under uncultured Acidobacteriota bacterium. RNAcentral describes it as "bacterial SSU rRNA". It matches the Rfam family "Bacterial small subunit ribosomal RNA", at positions 13 to 529 of the family's 1533-position model. Lineage: Bacteria; Pseudomonadati; Acidobacteriota. The record is from RNAcentral.
UUGAUCCUGGCUCAGAAUCAACGCUGGCGGCGUGCCUAACACAUGCAAGUCGAACGAGAAAGUGGAGCAAUCCAUGAGUAAAGUGGCGACCGGGUGAGUUACACGUGACCAAUCUACCCUUGAGUGGGGGAUAACCUCGGGAAACCGGGUCUAAUACCGCAUAACAUCUUCGGGACGGAAGUGCUGAAGAUCAGAGGAGUAAUUCGCUUAAGGAGGAGGUCGCGGCUGAUUAGCUAGUUGGCGGGGUAAUGGCCCACCAAGGCAAAGAUCGGUAGCCGGCCUGAGAGGGCGCACGGCCAUACUGGAACUGAAACACGGUCCAGACUCCUACGGGAGGCAGCAGUGGGGAUUUUUGCGCAAUGGGGGAAACCCUGACGCAGCAACGCCGCGUGGAGGAUGUAGUCCCUUGGGACGUAAACUCCUUUCGACCCGGACGAUAAUGACGGUACUGGUGGAAGAAGCCCCGGCUAACUUCGUGCCAGCAGCCGCGGUAAUAAGGU